This 1498-nucleotide long non-coding RNA is filed under the name Cucumis sativus (cucumber). RNAcentral describes it as "long non-coding RNA (CSAT_LNC000001)". Lineage: Eukaryota; Viridiplantae; Streptophyta; Magnoliopsida; Cucurbitales; Cucurbitaceae. The record is from RNAcentral.
GUGUAACGGGUUUGUCUGGAAAUAUACGUACCCAUAUUUUUCCACCGCGUCGUGCAUUUCGUGUCAUUGCCCUUCGUCCGGCUUCGAUUUGUCUAGAUGUGAUCCAAGCGGGUUCAAGUGCCUGAAUAGCGUAUCUCCCGAAGCAAAUACUAUUGCCUCGAUAAGAUAUUCCUUUCAUUCUUCCUCUAUGGUGUUUACGGAAUCUGGUUCUUUUAGGGUUAUAGUUGAUGGUUAUUUGUCAAUUCCAUCUCUACUACAGAACCGGACAUGAGAGUUUCUUCUCAUCCAGCUCCUCGCGAAUGAAACGAUUCAAAAAAAAAAUAUAAAUGUAUUUACUGCUAUUUACUGAAUAAUAGAUUCAAUUAUGGGAUUCUUUGAAAUUUCAUUUAAUCAAUCUAUUCGAAAUUUGUAUAUCUUCUUUUCUUUUGAUAGAAAACUAAACUCUUUAUAGAUUCUAGAAUAAUAGAAUAAUUUUUUUUUUAUUAUAGUUUUCUAAAAAAUUAUAGAUAAUAUAAUUUCGUUUUGUUAUUUUUUCUUUUAUUAUUAAGGUUAUAACAAAUCUUUAUUUUGUUUUACCUUUUCUUUUUUUUAUCUAUUAUUCUAUUUGAUCGACCCUAAUUUAGAAAUCUAAUAAAAUUGAAACGUUCGCGGGCGAAUAUUUACUCUUUUUAUAUGUGUUUUGGUUCUCGGGUUAGUUAGCCCAUGAACCCACCUCUCAUAAUAAAUGGAUUGGUCUUGGGUUCCUUCCGCCAUCCUACCCAAUGAAUUAUUAGGAUUCGUUUUCAAUAGAAUAUUAUGUAUUCACGGGUUUCCUCGUUCCCAUCGCCUCUCGAUUAAUGGUUAGGUCUUAAUUCUACAAUGGAGCCCGUAAUCAAAUUUGUUUUUGAGUCAAUCUUCUCAGUCUUUAUUGUCUCGGGGCUCUUGGCUUUUUUGUUCUAUGAACAGAUUCAUCUAAUUAUGAAUUCAUCAGUCUUAAUGCUUUAUUACACUACCUUUUAUGAGAUGACCCAUAGACCUUACAUAUUCCAUAUUGGAAUCAUAUAUCAUUCAUAUUCUUUUUCUCUCUUUCUUUCACCCUUCCAUUUAUCCGCAUACUUUUAUUUCUUCACAACUCAUAAUCGGAUUGUUUUUUUUUUUUUUUAUGCAAAAAAGAUUUCAGUUGCUACAAUGAUAUGAAAAAUAUAACAUAUCUUGACUGGUUGGUUUUUUAGAUCCAGAUAAUGCGAAGCGAUGAGUUGGUUAUUAGUUUUAUAAUUCUUAGUUCAGAUUAUGUAUGGGCUGAUCCUUUUUUAUUUUUUGGUUUUAAUCCGAACACCUAAAAAAAUAAAAAAACCGACGAGUCGCACACUAAGCAUAGCAAUUAUCUCAAAUGAUUAAUUUCAUUUUUAUUUAACCUUAUCGAAUUGCUCAUUUUUUAUUUAAAGGAAAAAGACUGAUUUGUCAUUUCUUGGUCGAUCAUUGAAUAAAACGUAAACACAAGUUAAGUAAGGGCUUAUUA